Molecule: ribosomal RNA, 482 nt
Filed under: uncultured bacterium
Lineage: Bacteria
Description: partial 16S ribosomal RNA
Rfam family: Bacterial small subunit ribosomal RNA
Source: RNAcentral
AUUGAACGCUGGCGGCAUGCCUUACACAUGCAAGUCGAACGGUAACAGGUUUUCGGUUGCUGACGCGUGGCGUACGGGUGAGUAAUACAUCGGAACGUGCCCGAUCGUUGGGGUUAACGAAUCUAAAGCUUUGCUAAUACCGCAUAAGAUCUACGGAUGAAAGCAGUGGACCUCAAGGCCUUUCUCGAACGUAGCGGCCGAUGGAAGAUUAGGUAGUUGGUGGGUUAAAAGCUUACCAAGCCGACGAUCUGUAGCUGGUCUGAGAGGACGACCAGCCACACUGGGAGUGAGACACGGCCCAGACUACUACGGGAGGCAGCAGUGGGGAAUUUUGGACAAUGGGCGAAAGCCUGAUCCAGCAAUGCCGAGUGCAGGAUGAAGGCCUUCGGGUUGUAAACUGCGUUUGUAAGGAACGAAAAGAAUCAGGUUAAUACCUGGGGUGAAUGACGGUAACGGAAGAAUAAGCAACGGCUAACUACGUG